UUGCAUGUGGAAAUGUCUGUUCCUAAUUCUUUUAGGAGGAGGAAUCAUAUCCAUAACAUGAUACAUUAAAAUAGGAGUUCUCAGGGGCUGCCAAUUACAGAAGAGGUUGAGUGGUAGUAUAUUUCUCCUACAUUA
This 135-nucleotide small nucleolar RNA is filed under the name Dasypus novemcinctus (nine-banded armadillo). Its description in RNAcentral is "Small nucleolar RNA U109 (ENSDNOG00000028826.1)". It matches the Rfam family "Small nucleolar RNA U109". The record is from RNAcentral. Lineage: Eukaryota; Metazoa; Chordata; Mammalia; Cingulata; Dasypodidae.